RNAcentral lists this ribosomal RNA (433 nucleotides) under uncultured bacterium. RNAcentral's name for it is "partial 16S ribosomal RNA". It matches the Rfam family "Bacterial small subunit ribosomal RNA", at positions 29 to 507 of the family's 1533-position model. The record is from RNAcentral.
AACGAACGCUGGCGGCAUGCCUAACACAUGCAAGUCGAACGAGACCUUCGGGUCUAGUGGCGCACGGGUGCGUAACGCGUGGGAACCUGCCCUUAGGUUCGGAAUAACUCCCCGAAAGGGGUGCUAAUACCGGAUAAUGUCUUCGGACCAAAGAUUUAUCGCCUUUGGAUGGGCCCGCGUUGGAUUAGCUAGUUGGUAGGGUAAAAGCCUACCAAGGCGACGAUCCAUAGCUGGUCUGAGAGGAUGAUCAGCCACACUGGGACUGAGACACGGCCCAGACUCCUACGGGAGACAGCAGUGGGGAAUAUUAGACAAUGGGCGAAAGCCUGAUCCAGCAAUGCCGCGUGAGUGAUGAAGGCCUUAGGGUUGUAAAGCUCUUUUACCCGGGAUGAUAAUGACAGUACCGGGAGAAUAAGCUCCGGCUAACUCCGUG